Molecule: long non-coding RNA, 15713 nt
Filed under: Lactuca sativa (garden lettuce)
Lineage: Eukaryota; Viridiplantae; Streptophyta; Magnoliopsida; Asterales; Asteraceae
Description: long non-coding RNA (LSAT_LNC007905)
Source: RNAcentral
AAAUCGUCCUUAUCACUCCGAAACGUUUACAUGCUAGUUCUAAUAUCGUAGUCGUACGUUUAGAAUCCUAAACACAUAAGGUUUCCAGAUCCGGUCGGCAACAGACCAUAGAUCCGAACAAUUAACAGCAUAUUAUGCACAAAGCAUUUAGCACAUAAAAGCAUUUUAGGCACAAUUCCUAAAAUAAGCUAGUGCUCACACCUCACAAUCAUCGCUUAGCAUUCUAAGUUUAAGUCUAGAAAUCCUACAAAUUCCUAGUUCGCUUAAACUAAUGCUCUGAUACCAACUGUGACAUCCCCAAAAUCACGGCCAGAAAAGACCGGUUUGUUUAUGCUUUGUUUAAAAAUCAGAGUUACAUUUUAAAUGAAAGUGUUGCGGAAUUUGUCCCAAAACAAAAAUAUGAUAAAGAUUUAUCAAAAGCAUUUCCAUAGAAAUGUAUUUCAUUAAAAGACUCGGGAUGUCAUGUUCGUACAGAUCAAAAGCAUAAACAGUACAAUAUAAGCCUUACUACAUUAUUUCAUAUCUACAGGCCUAUAUCCGUAAUCCCUCGUCCAAAACAUCACACCUAUGCUCAUGCGCCACUACCUGUAAUACAUAAAACUGAGUGGGUCAGGCUUGGGAGCCUGGUGAGCACAUAGGGUUUUCAACCCACAAUAAAUAAGUUUAUUAAUUUCAUCGAUCAACAAUAACCCGAUUACCCGUUCCCGUUAUCCUCACUUUACGUCCCUAAACACCUAUCAUAAGGGACCUAGCCUAAGGAUCAUCAUCGGGACGGACACUACUGCUAAGGGGAUUCCUCAGCAAUAAAUGUCCUAAAGGCAACCAUGUGGGGGAUGGAGUACACCGGUGAACAUAUCGUUCACAAACACCUACAGGUUGCGAGCCUGCUAGUGUUCCACUGGACUGUCUAGAAGAGUCCGUGGUCGUCAUCCAUACUCCGCUAGAUGACAGAAUCAACAACAUCAACAUCGAGGCCUCUCAUCAUUUUAUCACACAUCACCUAUUGCAUCUACCCAUGUUUUACCCCAACAUUUUCGUAGAUAUAAAAUACAUAUACAGUUUAAAUCAUUGAAAACAUGUAUAACAACGUUCAUCUAGCAUAGAUAGCAAGUAUUCAGAUAAUAUGCACACAUAGCACGUAAUUUAUAUAAAAUACUUCAUAUCUAUGUGUAAGUUGAAAGUAACUAUGCACUCACUUGUUAAGGUGAUGAUUCCAAAAUCGGGCAGCGCUUGCUUCUAACGAUUCUAUUUUCCUUCGACGAAACCUAGCAUUAUUAUCGCUAAAUUUUAGUCUAAUAUUUACCGUGACCAACUAUUAGUCUUAGUAUUAUUAUUAUUAUAUAAGCGUUAAACAAUAUUUUCCAACCACUAUGUACAGACAGGGGCCAGACAUAAAACACCGGAGGGCAGGACCAUUUUGGCAUAUAGCACUUCUGAAAUCCAACAACCCUAUGCGGCCCUUUAAACCAGAUUCCCCGUACCGCGAGUAGUUAAAAAAAAUAUUAUAACGACACUUAUAUAAGUUAUAAUAAUAGCUCAAAUAUUUAUUAUAAGUUCAUAAUAACAAUACUAAUUUUAAAUAUAAGCUAUAUUAAAAUAAGGUAAGCAUAACUUACUUACAAGGGGGUUUUAGCUAGGAGUCGGGCUCUGCAGGGGCAGAACUUCGUCGCUGAAUCUUUCUAAGAAAGAUUCGUGCAGCGCUUCAGCGCUCACCUUACUAUACUAAGCUACAGAAAGAGAAGUCGAAUCACGAGGGACCGAAAUGCUCGGGGGAUAAGGAGAGAAAGACUCUUGAAUCAAGAGAAUGGUGCAAGAAAUAUGAGAGCCCAAGGCUCUUAUUUAUACUAAUUGAAUUUUCAAAAACUACCCUCCAUAAUUACUUAAUGACCUUUUAGUUAUAUAAACAACUAAACACCCCUCUAUAAUACUAUUAUAAAUGGAUUUAAUGAUAUUUGUACUAAACUAAUGUCGAAAGAACUCAACAUUAGUCUUAUAAUGACCGCAUCGUCGAUACCUUUCUAAUGAUAUAUACAUAUGUAUAUAUAUGUGUACGUAUACAUGAUUUAUACUUUAUUUUAAUACGUAAAUAUGCUAUUAUAAUUUGUAACUCGUUCAUACGAACUCCGUUUUUGACGUUCUUUAUAUCCACGCGUAGGUGAAGACGUACUCUACAACUUUCGUUUAGACUCCGUCGGCUAAUUUUGACUUUAUUUUUAAAGUUAUAUUUUUAACAAGCCGGGACAGGAUUGGUCUGUUUAAAAUCUCAUAACUUCUUCAUACGAAGUCAGAUUUGGGCGUUCUUUUUAUCGAUGUUCUUAGUUUAACAUAUUCUACGACUUUCGUUUAGAUCACUAAGGCUAAAUCUCGCUCUAUCGUAAAUUCACUAUUCACGCUUCCCGGUAUCGUGCCGGUUCUGUCGUGAAACUUCGACGGGUCAUAACUUCUUCGUUAUAACUCGGAUUUCGGCGUUCCUUAUAUGCACGGAAACCUUGAGACAUAUUCUACAACUUUAUGUAGAGAUAUCGGGAUUAUCUCACACUUUAAUUUUGACGCUCAUUUUUAUUCUUUAUUAAUUAUACAUUUAUAAUUAAAUAAUAAACACAUAUAAUUCACAUAAUACUCAAAUAUUUCAUCUUUAUUACUUCAAAAAGAGUUAUAAGAGUUGACCUAGACUAUUACAUUGACAAAAAUGCUUAGCCCUGAAACCCGGGCGUUACAGGUUUCUAAUAGAAAAUCAUCAUAGAAACAGAAUAGAUCCGAAUUAUACCUCAAUGAACUCUGGAUUAGGUCCUAGAUCCUUGCUCUUCACCUUCUCAUUUGGUCUUUCCUUCCUUCUCUUCUUCAAACUUCAAAGAACAAGCACACAAACACUCAAAUCACAAGGAGAGGGUUAGGGUUUGGUAUAGGAUGCUCUGAGGGUGAAGGAGUCUAGCUUGGGGGCGCAUAACAUGGUUUAAAUAGGGUGCAAACCCUUGAAAUUAGGGUUUCUUCCAGACUGGCGGACUCGCCGAGUCCAGAAUAUGGAUUCGCCGAGUCGCCAACUUAAACGUGCUUAAAUUCCCGCCUCUACUCGGUGAGUCGGGCCUACAACUCGCCGAGUUCAAGGCUAAAAAUGCAAAAUACUUAGAUAAAUCUCACAUACCAGGAACAAGGUGCUACAACUAUUAAAUCUCUUUAUAUUUUUAUUUGUUGGAAGCCUAUACCUUUCUGAUUCAGUUUCAAAAAUUCAAAGUCUUUCGAAACAGGUAUGUUAAUAUUACCUAAUGAUAAUUUAGUCGAAAAAGUUAACAAUUGUUGUGUUUGAAUUAUAUAUGAAGUGAAUGGAGAUAAAGGAGGAAAAGACGAGACAAAUUCAAAACCCACCAGGUUUUACUUUUAGGUAAGCAAUUCUUUUUUCUUGCUUUCUUUAUAGUGACAUACAUUUUUGGUACUUAAUUUUAAUUAUAUAUUUCGGUUUUGGUCCCUAAAGGAAUCGGGUUAUAAUUCAACCCUUUUUUGGAGUUUUUCAAUGAUUUUGAUCCAUAUUUCAUAAGAAAUGAUCAUGUUGCCCUUUAAUUGUUUUUUUACAAAUACUUCUUAUCAUAUAGUGUUUAGCUCAUAAUAACUUCAAUUCCAGAACUUGAAGCUUCUCUAGGAGUAGUAGCAUAGCUAGAGCACAAUAACAUGAUGUGACAAAAGUUCGUUUUAAGGAAUGUCAAGGUUUUGCAUAAUAUGGUGUUGGAGGGUAAUAUUAGAAAAAUAUUGGUUUCUUAAUUUGUAUUUGAUUGGGAGUGGUUUUUUUUUCUUUUGUAGUCACUUGUUGAUGGAUUACAUGCACAUAAGGAUUUUGCUUAUGAUAUCCUUAUGUUGAGUGGUAAGUUCAUUAUUUUUUUUUUCAUUUUUUCUUCUGUGCAUCUCUUAAUAAUGCUAUAAUUUUACAAUGUGUUAAGUUAACACGAAGGUUCUUUGUUGUAUACAUAUAUUUUCCUAUUCAUGAAUGGGAUAAACUUUAGAUAUAUAUCCAAGAAAACAUGAUCACAACGACUUAAUAGUAUAUAUAUGCCAUUUUAGAACUCUUAAACUAAGGUCUUCAAUUUUAAUCAUCAAUCCAUAACUUUCUUUUCUAGACAUGGGUACUUUUAUUAUUCUUAAUACAUGGAAUACAAAUUUAUAUUCAUUCUUUGUAUUAGGAGUAUAAUUGUUUUCUAGAUCAGAUGUAUAACUUUCUAUAAUGUUCUGGUUGAUUUUGGAUUACUCACACGUAAGUUUGUUGGCUUUCCCCCUGUUGGACGAUAUUGCCCCUGUCUCAGUUUCAUUGAAUUCAACCUCUUCCAUUAAGCCGACCCAACUUAACAACCCUCUAGAGCUCCCCAUAAUCUACCAAUAGUUGAAGAUCAAACCUCAAGAACAAGUAGAGGAGUUGUCUGCUUUUAAUUUAUUUUUAUGUUUUAGCUGUUUUUUUAUUGCUUGUAUGUUUCCAAACACUUCUACUUUUUGCAGAGCAACUUAGAGCAGUAGGCUGCAAAAUUUUAUGCAUAAAUUCGGUAUGUCAAAGGAGUUGGAGUAAAAAAAGAGCAGACAUUUAUUAAUUUUUUUGUUGGAAAAUGCUACGUUCAGAUAACAGAGAAUCAAAGUUAGAGGGUUUUGAUUUGUGAAUUCAAUGCAACUCAUUUCUUUAUUUGCUCUUUGUUUUCUGAUUAUAAAGAUGAGGAUUAUGUUUGUUUUUUAUUUUGAUUUUAUUAUUAUUAUUUUGUUUAUUCUCACAAUAAUGUCGAUUAUUAAUGUUUUAAAGAUUUAAAUUAAUGGUUAAUGUUAGUUUUUGAUGACAUUUUUUGUUUUUUUUAUUCUAAGGAGUAAUUUCAAUUAAACAUUUGAAGUUCCUUUACAAUUGAGUUCAUUGGGUUUGAUAAAAAUUGUUUAAAUAUUAUUUUCAAAAUCAUAAUUACAUAUACCAUUUAAUACUAUUGUUUUCCAAAUAACAAAGAACAUGAGAUACAUUUAAAUUGAGUAUUAAUUCUUUAAUAAUUAAAAUAUUGAAUGACAACACUGGAGAUCGGAGAACAUAAACUUAAUUAACACAUAUAUUCACACAUAUGGUAGCAAUUUACUACAUGGAAAUUAAAAUUUAACAAUAAAAUUAAAUUGCAACGUAUGUUUAAUUUAAAAACAAUACAAUAUUAUAAUUUUAAAAACAAUACGACUUAAUAUUCAGAAUUAAAAACUAAUGUCAUUUUUAAAAAGAUAGACAAAAUAUUAAAAUAUUUAAAAUCAUCAAUUUUGACCGAAUUUAUGUUUGUUUUGUUACAAAGCUAACUUAUAUUUGAUUAUAUAAUUUAUUUUUAGAAAACGCUAAAUCUUAAACUCUAAGCCCAAAACCCUAACCUUCAAAUGCGAAUUACAUAAUCUAUACUCUAAAAGAAACUAUUUUGCCGAUACACAUGUUUUUUGUAAUUAACAUGUUUCUAAAACAUACUAUUCAUCUAAAGAGGACUCCUUGCUAAACUAAAACUAACGCCCACCAAAGAUAAACUAAUUUUCAAAAUGAAUUAUUAUCCGACUAAAAGUAUUCACAUCCUAAUCAUAAAUCAUAAACCCUAAACCCUCAAUAAUAAACAAUAAAUGAAACUAUUUUCCAAAAUGUCAUACAAUUAUUUACAUACAUUUAUGAUAUAUUUAAAUGGUGAAUGUUAUUUAUAAAGCAUUUUGUUUUCUUUAGAAUCGAAUAUGUUAUCAUAAAAUAGAAAUGAUCUAUUUUUUACCUAAUGGAUCCAACAUUGGAAAACAUAUAUCCAAUAUAUACAAAAGCGACAAAUACAAUAAUAAAUAUAUUGUUCGUAAAAGAAAAAUUAAUCAUUAAAUUAAAACUAAUCGCCUAUAGAAACUUAUUUUUGAAAAAAAUAAUUCAUCACNNNNNNNNNNNNNNNNNNNNNNNNNNNNNNNNNNNNNNNNNNNNNNNNNNNNNNNNNNNNNNNNNNNNNNNNNNNNNNNNNNNNNNNNNNNNNNNNNNNNNNNNNNNNNNNNNNNNNNNNNNNNNNNNNNNNNNNNNNNNNNNNNNNNNNNNNNNNNNNNNNNNNNNNNNNNNNNNNNNNNNNNNNNNNNNNNNNNNNNNNNNNNNNNNNNNNNNNNNNNNNNNNNNNNNNNNNNNNNNNNNNNNNNNNNNNNNNNNNNNNNNNNNNNNNNNNNNNNNNNNNNNNNNNNNNNNNNNNNNNNNNNNNNNNNNNNNNNNNNNNNNNNNNNNNNNNNNNNNNNNNNNNNNNNNNNNNNNNNNNNNNNNNNNNNNNNNNNNNNNNNNNNNNNNNNNNNNNNNNNNNNNNNNNNNNNNNNNNNNNNNNNNNNNNNNNNNNNNNNNNNNNNNNNNNNNNNNNNNNNNNNNNNNNNNNNNNNNNNNNNNNNNNNNNNNNNNNNNNNNNNNNNNNNNNNNNNNNNNNNNNNNNNNNNNNNNNNNNNNNNNNNNNNNNNNNNNNNNNNNNNNNNNNNNNNNNNNNNNNNNNNNNNNNNNNNNNNNNNNNNNNNNNNNNNNNNNNNNNNNNNNNNNNNNNNNNNNNNNNNNNNNNNNNNNNNNNNNNNNNNNNNNNNNNNNNNNNNNNNNNNNNNNNNNNNNNNNNNNNNNNNNNNNNNNNNNNNNNNNNNNNNNNNNNNNNNNNNNNNNNNNNNNNNNGAACAUAAGUCUCUUUGAGGUUUAUUUUAAUUUUAUUUAUGGAAAAUGAUUUGUCGUUAAGUUUAGAUACGAUACGAAGUAGCUAGACAAUGAAAACCAAGUUUUAUCCGACCACUUGUCUCACUGGUAUGCAGUUAUGUACAAGAAAUUUCAUUAUUAUAACACAUAAAUUUCAUUCCGUUGUUUUAUAUGUCUUAACUUUAACUAAUAACAGACAAAAAUUUAAAAAUUUAAAAAAUACUAUUUUAGUUAAAACGAAACAAUUUAAUCUUAUGGUCAUGAAGAUUAAACCUAAACUGAAACUUUACACGAGAAGUUUUAGGUAAAUUACAUUUUUUUUUGUCCUUGAAAUUUAUUGAUCUUCACAAAUAUUGUUUCUAGAAAACCAUUUUUUUCCCUUUCUAUAGAAUAUUUUGAACAAGAUGUCAAGCAGACUAGAGUGGUGUUCUUCUCCCAAUAUAAUAUCUAGCAUUCGCAAAAUACAAAUAGAUUUUGAAGAAAAAAAAAAGCAAAAAACUUCAAAAAUAACCCACAUCGUUUGUUGUUUUCUUUGGAUGAAGUCCAAAAUAAUUUGAACUUACAAACAUAUUCCUUUUGACAAGGUUUUCUUAUGGAUUUCUUUUUGUUUAACUAUGUUAGCUUUAAGAUGUAAACUUAUUUUCAAUUUACUAUUUUAUCCUUAUUUUAUGUUUUUAACUCAUUGUAUUAUCUUUUUAAACUCAUACCCACCUUUUCCAUCCUUUGCUAAAACUUUAAAAACCUUUGUCAUAUCCUCCUCUGAUCAAAUCUAUGUCAUCAUCCUUUGCUGCAGUGGUGGUGUUAUAAACUCGUUGGUCCUUCAACUCUUGUUCAAGCUCCACAAUGACUAGAUAGUGACACACUAAACACCCUAAUCAAAUCCUUAACCUUCAUGACCACCGACACCGGUGAUGAGUCUAGAAUGGAAACCUACGUGGUUCACAAUUUAAAUGAAAUUGAUAUAUAAAAAUAUAAUAAUAAUAAAAUACUAAUAGCAGGUUAUGUCAUACAAGCAAAUAAAAAAAAAAAUUCUUACAAUUAUAACGAAGUCUAAUAUCUUGAAAUAUUUCACAAUUGCAUCAUCACUAAUACUAUCUAAACUAUUUUUCUAUAUAUCACACUAAACGAUUAAUCUAAAAAUUAAUCAUUCUCUUUUCAAUAUGUGACACAAAUAUCACUUAGAAGUUCUAUUGUGUUAUUUCUUAAUGAGUAAUUAAGUAUUUAGGCUAUUAAGAAAUAAAAAUUGAAUUUAAAAGUCUUGAUUUAUGUUAAUUUCUAUAUCAAACAAAUUAAGAUAGGCCACUAGUAAAAAUUUAGAUAGGUCACAAAUAUAUUAUACAUAUUACCUAUAAUAAAUAAAAAGAUAGGUGGAUUAAGUGACCCACCUAGAUAGUAUGUAUACUCGCCAAUGAUCGACACACACCCACCUUAACCCCUCGUCUAAAUUAAAAAAUCGACAACCCCUUCCUACCGUUACCGGCAAGCCAUUUUCUACGGACACUUUGGAUAUUUUAUUAGAACAAUCCCAAAAUAACAUAUACCAAACCUUAUGAUAUGGUUGCUUUUAAUAUUUCAUCCUUUUAAUCUCCCAAUCAAAACAAUCCAAAUUGUUAAAUACGACUAUGCAUAAUGACAUAUAAACGAAUUUUUAUCUCCAGUGGAGGAGGGUUGGAUCUUUAUCGUUUGCCAGAAACAUAGAUUGGGGCAAAGACGUGUUAGAAACUUGGGUAGAGUUUAUAGUGGAGAUCUGGAUACCCUUCGAUCGUAUAAACACUUUCUGAACUGAUAUUUCUAUCCUACGUCCGGGUUACAAGAAAUUCAGCCUACAAUAAUCCCAAGGGGACACUUGCGUAUCUAGGUAUAGAAAACGUAAGCCAAAUUGCUAGACUUCUGAGUUCGUAUGAAGAAAAAUGAGAGCCAAAAAAAUCCCCUUCAAAGAGGAGAGUCGUUUAUAUAUAAAACAAGCUAUAGGGUUUCGUUUUUAGGGUUAGGCAUCAUCAGUUUCUAUGGAAACAAAUCAAGGAAAUACGGAAUUAAUGUGGAAAUCAAUGGUUUCCAAAACUGAAGAUUUUAUCGUUGGAAACAAAUCAAAGGAAUCUAUAAUUAAUGAGGAAAUCAAUAGUUUUCAAAACUGAAGAUCUUAGUCAGUUUUACCAUAAUCACCCUCCAAAAAUUCCAUUUUUCCACUAUGUAUCCUUUAAUAAAAUCCGAAGACCUGUUUGAGCGCUGCCUAUAACCCCGCGGGGGCGCUGCCCCUUUGGAAACCCCGAACCCAGGGGCGCUGGCCCCAAACCCCCAACUUGUCGUCGAAUCGGUUUCUAAUUCGAUCUUAUACAUGCAUGCACUCCGUACACACCCAAACAUAUAUUAUAGUACAAAUUACAAAGCCCCUUAGCUCACAUGUAAGUUCCAAUUACACAAAAUGUCCCGGUGACACUAAAAUCACCAACAAUCCUCCCCCAUUUUAGUGUAACCCUUGAACAAACAUAACAUUAUCAAAACAAAACCAAACUAGUACAUAAAUAAAAAUGUCGCAAUGAUUGAAUUUCCACUUAGUAUCAUACUCUUACAAAUACUCGAGAAUUAGGUGUUGAAACAUGACAAGUGAACCUCUAGCAAUCACAAGUAAUAAAGACCCGAAGUCAGCUGAGUCCGAGAUUUGUGAUGUUCGAGAUAGAGAUGAAGUACGAGAUGGAGAUCAUGUUGGGUUUGAGCAUUCUAACACUCAUAUGGUGUACAUGCAAACCUAAAUACCUUGGAUCUAUGUUUUCUCCAUUAUACAUGCAAAUAUCAAUUUCCAAGGUAUUUAUCCUAACUAGCAUAUUAUGAAGUACAAGUAAUAUAAAAUCUAGUAGAAUUACAUACCUCUUUGUUGGUGAUUGAUUCCAUGUAGCUUGAGAGCCUAGUGCCCCAAGUGUGACACCUCAAAUGGUUCACACAACAUCAAAUGCUUUUGGAAUAACUUAGAGAGAAAUUAGAACACUUUAAAAAUCGGUUUGCCCUCACUUGUUUCACUAGUGGCCGAUUUCUUCAAUAAUAAGAUCAUUAUAUAGUUAGUUACAAUUAGGGUAAACCCUAAUUGUUAUAGCUUUCCAUUUCCUUGGAUCCAUGGGUUCAAAUACACCAUGGAGCAUCCUAUGGGUUUUAACCUAACUUGGUAAUCCAUGGAGCAUUAGCCCACUAUAUAAGUAUGGAUGAUUUACACAAUCAACCCAUAUAUUUUAAUUAGUCUUCUUUUGAUCACUUAAUUAAUUUUAGAUUAAUUCUUGAUCAAUACUAAUUAAAUAAUCUUAUUAAUAUAUUAGAACUUAUAAUAUAUUAAUAAACCUUAAGUGUUAUUUCUCUCAUUUUAGUUUAUCCAAAUGCAUGAUGCCAUGUAACCCAAAUGGACCAUGCCGGGUCGGGUCAAGUCUUACUAAUUAUAGUUAUGGACUUAGACAUUAAUCCAACAGAUCAUUCCGAUAUGAUGGGCAGUUCUAAGAUUAGCUGUCUGUUCAAACAUUUAAUGUUUCUUGUCUUAAUACUAGCGUAACGUUUCAUAGGACUUUUUCUUUAUGUAUCUUUUAGAUAAUCAGGGUGUCAGUGACUUAUUAUUAUCUAGUCCUACGAAUGUUUCCCAGUUUGUACGAUGUUCCACCUUAGUCUAUUUAAGGAGUGAUUUGAAUGACAAAAAUACGUAUGUUGUUACUCCACAGAUAGCAAAAAUUCUCUUUAUUUAACUUUCACUUUUCUCUCAAGUCAAGAUAUUUCACAACAUGCUUCUUGUUCAUUAAAUGUCUUUGCAUUGAUUAUACUACUAGUUUACUUCAUUUAAUAUUGAGUACCUUGUUGAAUCUUUUCUUCAAGUCUUGACUGUUAUUACCAGACUUGACUGGAACCAUUAAUUAAGAGCAGACAUUGAUCUUAAAGAUUAACUCAAGGUUUCAGUUUUUAAACUGUAUCCUUGCACAUUGAUUCUUGUACUCACAUCAGGGUGUUCUAAGAAUUAAACCCACCAACCCAUUUGAAUACCAGAAAGUAAAAUACAUACUAGUUUAUUGAAGUUUCUAGUGUGAUAUCCCCAAAAUCACGGCCAGAAAAGACCGAUUUUGUUUAUGCUUUAUAAAAAUCAGAGUACUACAUUUUAUAAAAAUGUUGCGGAAUUUGUUCCCAGAAAAACAUGGUAAAUACGUUAUUAAAACAUUUUCGAAGAAACGUAUUCAUUUCAUUUUAAAACGUUUGGGAUGUCAUCGUUAAUAUAGAAACAUAAGCAUAAACAGAACUUACAAUUAUUUACACUAGUGAUCUACAUCUCUUUAAAUCUCUCAGUGUAAUGUCACUUCAUAUCAACACCUGUGAUAUAAAUAAACUGAGUGGGUCAGGUUGGGAAACCUGGUGAGCACAUAGGGUUUUCAACCCACAAUAAUAUAGUUAUUAUUUUUAAACAUCAAGCAAUCAACCCAAUUACCCAUUCCCGUUAUCCUCACAUUACGUCCCUAAAACAUCUAACACAAGGGACUUAGUCAAAGGACUAUCAUUGGGAUGGAGUGUACCUGGUGAGCACACAGUUCACACAGUUCGAAUAAACACACAGUUCGAAUAAACACACAGUUCGAAUAAACACCUACAGGUUGCGAGCCUGCUAGUGUUCCACUGGACUGUCUAGAAUAGUCCGUGGUCGUCAUCUAUACUCCGCUAGAUGACUAGAUCAUCAAGAACAGCUAUAACGAGGCCUCUCAUUAUUUUAUUUUGUCACACAGCAACUAUUACAUCUACCCAUGUUUUACCCAACACAUUUUGUAGAUAUAAAAUACAUAUACAGUUUAAAUCAUUGAAAACAUGUAUAAAACGUUCAUCCGGCAUAGAUAGCAAGUAUUCAGAUAAUAUGCACACAUAGCACGUAAUUUAUAUAAAAUACUUCAUAUCUAUGUGUAAGCUGAAAGUAACUAUGCACUCACCUGAAAAGGUGGUGACUCGGCACUCAGACAGCGCUUCGAUACUCUCAAAACAAUUUUCCUUCGAUAAAACCUAGUAUCAAUACCACUAGGGUUUAGUCUAACGAUAACCGCGACAAAUUAAUAGUCUGACUAUUAUUAUUAUUAUAUAAGCGUUAAAUAACACUCAAUAUAACUCAUAAUAAUAGCCCAAAUAAUUAUUUUAAGGACCUAAUAACAUUACUAUAAUUAUUUGAAAGCUAUAUUAAAAAUUGCGUAAGCGUAGCACACUUACAGCGAAUUUUAUCGAAAACCGGAACUUAAUUGGAGCAGCGUUUCGAAACCGAAAAACUCCUUUUUCUCGGGACUCCGGGAGCCUCGGGGCUUCCCUAGGGUGCUAGGGGUUUAACUAGGGCUUAGGGGAGGUUUGGAACUCUAGAGAGAGAAAGAAACUAGAGAGAGAAGUGGAAAUUGUGUGAAAAAUGUGAAGGCCCUCGCCCCUUUUUAUACCCUGCGAGGCCUCGGACUACGCUGGGCGUAAUCCUUGGCUACGCGGGGCGUAACUUCGGAUGGGGCUGCCACAUCGAAUCUAGCUGUCUCGCACUCGGAAGGGAUAAGACCGAAGGGUACGCUGGGCGUACCGAACUCGGACGCGGGGCGUAAGGCGAGGCUUCGUGGCAUGAUCCGAAGCGAGAUCUGAAUCAUCAUCCGACGGCCCACAACGUGCCACGUCAUCAAUCCUCAUCAGCCUUCGCAAAUUCGAUUAUAAACUUUAAAAAUUCGUAACUUUCGCGUACGAGCUCCGUUUUCGACGUUCUUUAUAUCCACGCGAAGGUGGGAACGUACUCUACAACUUUCGUUUAGACUUCGUCGGCUAAUUUUGGCUCGAUUUUAAAUUUUAUAUUAUUAACGGGCCGGGACACGAUUGGUCCGUUAAAUCCUCAUAACUUCUUCAUCCGACAUCCGUUUUCGCCCAUCUUUUUCUCGUUACGCUACUCUCAACGAGAUCUUCGAUUCUCGUUUAGGUCGUGUCGGCUAAAAACCGCUCGAUCUAAUAUUCGAAUUUCGGGCUGUACACUGCUAGUCCGAAACUUCGAAAAAUCAUAACUUCUUCAUACGAAGUCAGAUUUGGGCGUUCUUUUUAUCGAUGUUCUUAGUUUAACAUAUUCUACGACUUUCGUUUAGAUCGCUAAGGCUAAAUCUCGCUCUAUCGUAAAUUCACUAUUUACGCUUCCCGGUGUCGUGCCGGUUUUGCCGUAAAACUUCGACGGGCCAUAACUUCUUCGUUAUAACUCGGAUUUCGGCGUUCCUUAUAUGUACGGAAACCUUGUGACAUACUCUACAACUUGGUUAAGAUUAUUUAUUCUAAAUAAUCUUUUGUCGAAAAGUCGUUUUCGACCCCUAUUGCCUCUAAUUUGACUAGCCCAGAUUUGCGGGCGUUACAAUUAUCUCCCCCUUAGGAUGAUUACGUCCCGGAAUCAUCAACGAAACAGGGUCGUAUAAUGACUCCAUACGUCAUCUCUUCAUCCUAGGUAAUAAUUAUAACUUCUACAUUCCUUCAAGACUAUCUCUCAGACUUAUUGACUGUAUGCAGUACUCGAUCGUGCACCUGCUCUCUACCUCAGGCUAGACUCCCAAUUAUGACCUUCAAGUCACAAUAUCGAUCCUUACUGGAUACGAACUUGAGAUGAUUUCUUUUAUUACUACGAUGGAUCGACGUGUCAUAUUCUAAUGACCUAUCAUCGUAUCUUGCAACACUUAGACUUAGGUCUCUUAGAGUUAAAUUCUAAAACAGACUAUGCCUUCCUUCAUGUUCUAAUGUGAUAUAAUCACACUUUAACAUUAGGCAUUUCUAGCCACCAACUUCUUUAACAACGAGUGCGAUNUUCUAUUGAUCGCUUUGAUUUCAAUCGUUUGGUUUAAGUCGGACGCUACAUCAAACUUGGUUCUCUGAACCACGUAACCUACUCAUCGUAGUCGGACUCAAUGGGAUAUGACCACUAGGGUCAAGAUAACAACAGUCUUCUUAGUCAUUACCGAAACAAUGGUAACGACAUACUUGAAUAAAAUGAAAUCAAUUACUGGCUUCUUGGUAACCUUGUGACUUUCCCUGAUCCAAGUGUGAGUCCUGUGCUUCCGGUAGUAUAGGCCUCUACUACCAUUCACACCUACUCAUACUCGUCCCAAGUAUUGUCUCGCAGUUUCCCAAGUCACCAUGNAAAAACUUAACACAUAAAAUAUCAAAACGAAGGUUUUAUAUUAUUCCUUGAAACGAUUAAAUGGGUGUUCAAGUUCACCCUAGAUUAUGCCUCUAAUAGGCUACACCAUAUGACACUAUCUACAUGGCUUCUUCAUAACUUGAUUUCCACGUAUCCAUCCUCACUCCUGAUUCCUUGCAUCGUCAGCUACUUCGUUUAGGAUCAUAUGGAAUGCCCUUGCCUUUGGUUUCGGCGGAAUGUUUGGUUUUGUAGCCCCUUCUCUCUUUGGGCAGUCUUGCUUGAAGUGUCCUUCUUCACCACACUUAAAGCAGACUUCUCUCUUAGUUGUGCAUUUGCUGGCGUAAUGAGCAGUCUUUCCGCAUUUAAAGCAGGUCAUCUCUUUAGAGCAUUUCCCGAUGUGCUUCUUUCUGCACUUGUCACACCAUCGCAUUCCUUCUUCAAACUUCGAGAAUUUUCUCUUCUCGCUGGAUCUUGAAGAUCCUUCAAACUUUCUCUUCUCGUCAACCUCCAUCUUGCUGGCGGCUCUUCCUUUGAUCAUAUCCUCAACAGACUUGGCAGCCCAGAUAGCUGCCUCCAGAGUAGGUGCUUGACGCACUGGCACCGCGUACUCCCAUGGAAGUCCUAUUGUGUACUUGUCGAUUUUCGUUAGCUCAUCCGAAACAAGACGCAAGGCAAACUCCAUCUUUUCUGUGAAGUUGUUCAUGUAUCCAUCGAUUGACAUGUUUCCCUUCUUCAGGGUUAGAAACUGGUUUUCUAACUCGAGCAGGUUUUGAGCUGAGCAGUACUUUCGUUUGAAUUGCACCAGAAAUUCUGCCCAUGUCAGUUGCAGGGGCUUGUUGGGGCUCAGAGUCUUCCCCAAGGUGUUUCACCAACGUACAGCGCCUCCUCGAAACUGACGCACUGCAAAUGUGGUAUGUAGCUUCCCUCUACAACCGCAUGUCAUGAAAGCUAACUCCAUCUCCGAGAUCCAAUCCAUGACCCUGAUUGGAUCUUCCUUUCCCGUGAAAGUUGAUGGCUUGCAAGUCAGAAAGUCCUUGUACUUGCAUCCAUUUCUCUCAACUUCGUCAUCGUGGUUGUUUUGUCGAACUAUUGGUGGGUUGACUUGACCAACAGUCCCACUGUAGUUCUCCUCCUCAGUCUGCCCUUCAUUCAACUCGGGCCGUUCGAUCUGAAUAGUCGCUUCCUCUCGAUUUUGCUGGAGCAAACGUCUGGUUUCCUCCAUUUGACGAUCCAACAUCGCCUGGAUCAUUGCUUGCACUCCGACCAUCAUUAUUGGCUCAGCAGCGGCUACCACAACCGGUAUUUUCUCAAUCACUGGGGGUUGGUUUCGGUUCCCAUUUGCAUUCACGUUUCCACUACGGGUUCUUGCCAUCUUGAUCUAUACACCAAAUAGGGUGAAUCUAGAUCUUUACUUAGGAUUGACGGUUAAAUCAUCCUUAUCACUCCGAAACGUUUAUAUGCUAGUUCUAAUAUCAUAGUCGUACGUUUAGAAUCCUAAACACAUAAGGUUUCCAGAUCCGGUCGGCAACAGACCAUAGAUCCGAACAACUAACAGCAUAUCAGGCACAAGUAUUUAGCACAUAAAAGCAUUUUAGGCAUAAUUCCUAAAAUAAUCUAGUGCUCACACCUCACAAUCAUCGCUUAGCAUUCUAAGUUUAAGUCUAGAAAUAAAUCCAUAUUCCUAGUUCGCUUAAACUAAUGCUCUGAUACCAACUGUGACAUCCCCAAAAUCACGGCCAGAAAAGACCGAUUUUGUUUAUGCUUUAUAAAAAUCAGAGUACUUCAUUUUAUAAAAAUGUUGCGGAAUUUGUUCCCAGAAAAACAUGGUAAAUACGUUAUUAAAACAUUUUCGAAGAAACGUAUUUAUUUCAUUUUAAAACGUUUGGGAUGUCAUCGUUAAUACAGAAACAUAAGCAUAAACAGAAC